GAUGAACGCUGGCGGCGUGCCUAAUACAUGCAAGUCGAGCGAACAGACGAGAGUGCUUGCACUCUCUGACGUUAGCGGCGGACGGGUGAGUAACACGUGGGUAACCUACCUAUAAGACUGGGAUAACUUCGGGAAACCGGAGCUAAUACCGGAUAAUAUUUAGCUUCGCAUGAAGCAAUAGUGAAAGACGGUUCUGCUGUCACUUAUAGAUGGACCCGCGGUGUAUUAGCUAGUUGGUGAGGUAACGGCUCACCAAGGCAACGAUCCAUAGCCGACCUGAGAGGGUGAUCGGCCACACUGGGACUGAGACACGGCCCAGACUCCUACGGGAGGCAGCAGUAGGGAAUCUUCCGCAAUGGACGAAAGUCUGACGGAGCAAUGCCGCGUGAGUGAAGAAGGUUUUCGGAUCGUAAAACUCUGUUGUAAGGGAAGAACAAGUACGUUAGUAACUGAACGUACCUUGACGGUACCUUACCAGAAAGCCACGGCUAACUACGUG
Molecule: ribosomal RNA, 499 nt
Filed under: uncultured bacterium
Lineage: Bacteria
Description: partial 16S ribosomal RNA
Rfam family: Bacterial small subunit ribosomal RNA
Source: RNAcentral